Molecule: ribosomal RNA, 334 nt
Filed under: uncultured bacterium
Lineage: Bacteria
Description: partial 16S ribosomal RNA
Rfam family: Bacterial small subunit ribosomal RNA
Source: RNAcentral
CCUACGGUGUGCAGCAGUGAGGAAUAUUGGUCAAUGGACGCAAGUCUGAACCAGCCAAGUAGCGUGCAGGAUGACGGCCCUCCGGGUUGUAAACUGCUUUUAGUUGGGAAUAAAAGGGGGCUCGUGAGCCCCGUCUUGUAUGUACCAUCAGACAAAGGAACGGCUAAUUCCGUGCCAGCAGCCGCGGUAAUACGGAAGGUCCGGGCGUUAUCCGGAUUUCUUGGGUUUCAAGCGAGCGUAGGCCGGCUUCUACGUCAGCUGUGAAAGUCCGCGUCUCAACCGUGGAAUUGCAGUUGAAACUGGAGGCCUUGAGUGCACACAGGGAUGCCGGAAU